This is a long non-coding RNA of Oncorhynchus keta (chum salmon), 1391 nucleotides long. RefSeq lists it as uncharacterized. The transcript has 3 exons. The record is from RefSeq and is a predicted model, not a curated record. NCBI's taxonomy places the organism in Eukaryota, Metazoa, Chordata, Actinopteri, Salmoniformes, Salmonidae.
UCAUAAUAAUCAUAAUAUUUAUCCUUAGCAACUUAACAGUUGCGCUGCAUAUAUUUGAUGUACGGCUGGUCCUGGGAAUGGAAGCCUGCCGAUGCUAAUGCUCUACUAACUGAGCUACAGAUAGUAAAAUAGAGCUUCUUUUUUUAAAGGGAAAACAGAGAUAUGUAUUUUUAUUACAUGAUAUGACAGAUGUAGGAACAUAUUGGGUAAUGGGCGGAGGGCGGAGGGCAGACAGAUGUAGGAAGAGAUUGGUAGAUAGACAGAGGGUAGACAGAUGUAGGAACAUAUUGGGUGAUGGGCGGAGGGCGGAGGGCAGACAGAUGUAGGAAGAGAUUGGUAGAUAGACAGAGGGUAGACAGAUGUUGGAACAUAUUGGGAGAUAGACAGAGGGUAGACAGAUGUAGGAACAUAUUGGGAGAUAGACAGAGGGUAGACAGAUGUAGGAACAUAUUGGGAGAUAGACAGAGGGUAGACAGAUGUAGGAACAUAUUGGGAGAUAGACAGAGGGUAGACAGAUGUAGGAACAUAUUGGUAAAUAGACAGAGGGUAGACAGAUGUAGGAACAUAUUGGGAGAUAGACAGAGGGUAGACAGAUGUAGGAACAUAUUGGGAGAUAGACAGAGGGCAGACAGAUGUAGAAAGAGAUUGGUAGAUAGACAGAGGGUAGACAGAUGUAGGAACAGAGGGCAGAAAAUAUGUAAGGAUGCUGGAACCCCGUCUCCAAGGGGACAUGUGUUGUCCAGAGUCGAGAAAGUUAGCACUACACCAGACCCCGGAGUAUACUGAGGUGAGAAAGUUAGCACUACACCAGACCCCGGAGUAUACUGAGGUGAGAAAGUUAGCACUACACCAGACCCCGGAGUAUACUGAGGUGAGAAAGUUAGCACUACACCAGACCCCGGAGUAUACUGAGGUGAGAAAGUUAGCACUACACCAGACCCCGGAGUAUACUGAGGUGAGAAAGUUAGCACUACACCAGACCCCGGAGUAUACUGAGGUGAGAAAGUUAGCACUACACCAGACCCCGGAGUAUACUGAGGUGAGAAAGUUAGCACUACACCAGACCCCGGAGUAUACUGAGGUGAGAAAGUUAGCACUACACCAGACCCCGGAGUAUACUGAGGUGAGAAAGUUAGCACUACACCAGACCCCGGAGUAUACUGAGGUGAGAAAGUUAGCACUACACCAGACCCCGGAGUAUACUGAGGUGAGAAAGUUAGCACUACACCAGACCCCGGAGUAUACUGAGGUGAGAAAGUUAGCACGACACCAGACUCCGGAGUAUACUGAGGUGAGAAAGUUAGAAAGAAAUUAGCCUUUCAUACGAAAGAUUGAUUUUGUGUGACAGAGAGGGACAAUGGACAGAAACAAACAUCUCUGUUAGUCCACUA